ACGAACGCUGGCGGCGUGCCUAAUACAUGCAAGUCGAGCGCGGGAAGCAGGCAGAUCCUCUUCGGAGGUGACNCUUGUGGAACGAGCGGCGGACGGGUGAGUAACACGUGGGCAACCUGCCUGUAAGAUUGGGAUAACCCCGGGAAACCGGGGCUAAUACCGGAUAAUACUUUUNGUUGCAUAACGAGAAGUUGAAAGGCGGCUUUUAGCUGUCACUUACAGAUGGGCCCGCGGCGCAUUAGCUAGUUGGUAAGGUAACGGCUUACCAAGGCGACGAUGCGUAGCCGACCUGAGAGGGUGAUCGGCCACACUGGGACUGAGACACGGCCCAGACUCCUACGGGAGGCAGCAGUAGGGAAUCUUCCGCAAUGGACGAAAGUCUGACGGAGCAACGCCGCGUGAGUGAUGAAGGUUUUCGGAUCGUAAAACUCUGUUGUCAGGGAAGAACAAGUGCCGUUCAAAUAGGGCGGCACCUUGACGGUACCUGACCAGAAAGCCCCGGCUAACUACGUGCCAGCAGCCGCGGUAAUACGUAGGGGGCAAGCGUUGUCCGGAAUUAUUGGGCGUAAAGCGCGCGCAGGCGGUCCUUUAAGUCUGAUGUGAAAGCCCACGGCUUAACCGUGGAGGGCCAUUGGAAACUGGAGGACUUGAGUACAGAAGAGGAGAGUGGAAUUCCACGUGUAGCGGUGAAAUGCGUAGAGAUGUGGAGGAACACCAGUGGCGAAGGCGACUCUCUGGUCUGUAACUGACGCUGAGGUGCGAAAGCGUGGGGAGCGAACAGGAUUAGAUACCCUGGUAGUCCACGCCGUAAACGAUGAGUGCUAGGUGUUAGGGGGUUUCCGCCCCUUAGUGCUGAAGUUAACGCAUUAAGCACUCCGCCUGGGGAGUACGGCCGCAAGGCUGAAACUCAAAAGAAUUGACGGGGGCCCGCACAAGCGGUGGAGCAUGUGGUUUAAUUCGAAGCAACGCGAAGAACCUUACCAGGUCUUGACAUCCUCUGCCAAUCCUAGAGAUAGGAUGUUCCCUUCGGGGACAGAGUGACAGGUGGUGCAUGGUUGUCGUCAG
RNAcentral lists this ribosomal RNA (1065 nucleotides) under Virgibacillus marismortui. RNAcentral's name for it is "bacterial SSU rRNA". It matches the Rfam family "Bacterial small subunit ribosomal RNA", at positions 29 to 1058 of the family's 1533-position model. Lineage: Bacteria; Bacillati; Bacillota; Bacilli; Caryophanales; Bacillaceae. The record is from RNAcentral.